AGAACGAACGCUGGCGGCAUGCCUAAUACAUGCAAGUCGAACGAACACUUCGGUGUUAGUGGCGCACGGGUGCGUAACGCGUGGGAAUCUGCCCUUGGGUUCGGAAUAACAGUUGGAAACGACUGCUAAUACCGGAUGAUAUCGAAAGAUCAAAGAUUUAUCGCCCAGGGAUGAGCCCGCGUAGGAUUAACUAGUUGGUGAGGUAAAGGCUCACCAAGGCGACGAUCCUUAGCUGGUCUGAGAGGAUGAUCAGCCACACUGGGACUGAGACACGGCCAGACUCCGUACGGGAGCAGCAGUAGGGAAUAGUGGACAAGUGGGCGCAAGCCUGAUCCAGCAAUGACCGUCGAGAGUGACUGAAGGUCCGUUAGGGUUAGUAAGUCGUUCCGUUUACCGAG
RNAcentral lists this ribosomal RNA (398 nucleotides) under uncultured soil bacterium. RNAcentral's name for it is "bacterial SSU rRNA". It matches the Rfam family "Bacterial small subunit ribosomal RNA", at positions 26 to 444 of the family's 1533-position model. The record is from RNAcentral.